UGGGGAAUUUUGGACAAUGGGCGAAAGCCUGAUCCAGCAAUGCCGCGUGCAGGACGAAGGCCUUCGGGUUGUAAACUGCUUUUGUACGGAGCGAAAAGCUUUGGGCUAAUACCCUGAAGUCAUGACGGUACCGUAAGAAUAAGCACCGGCUAACUACGUGCCAGCAGCCGCGGUAAUACGUAGGGUGCAAGCGUUAAUCGGAAUUACUGGGCGUAAAGCGUGCGCAGGCGGUUUUGUAAGACAGAGGUGAAAUCCCCGGGCUCAACCUGGGAACUGCCUUUGUGACUGCAAAGCUUGAGUGCGGCAGAGGGGGAUGGAAUUCCGCGUGUAGCAGUGAAAUGCGUAGAUAUGCGGAGGAACACCGAUGGCGAAGGCAAUCCCCUGGGCCUGCACUGACGCUCAUGCACGAAAGCGUGGGGAGCAAACA
This 427-nucleotide ribosomal RNA is filed under the name uncultured prokaryote. RNAcentral describes it as "bacterial SSU rRNA". It matches the Rfam family "Bacterial small subunit ribosomal RNA", at positions 355 to 774 of the family's 1533-position model. The record is from RNAcentral.